RNAcentral lists this ribosomal RNA (1385 nucleotides) under uncultured bacterium. Its description in RNAcentral is "bacterial SSU rRNA". It matches the Rfam family "Bacterial small subunit ribosomal RNA". The record is from RNAcentral.
AGUUUGAUCCUGGCUCAGGAUAAACGCUAGCGGCAGGCCUAACACAUGCAAGUCGAGGGGCAGCGGAAGAAGUAGCUUGCUACUUCUGCCGGCGACCGGCGCACGGGUGCGUAACGCGUAUGCAACCUACCUUUAACAGGGGGAUACCGGAAGAAUUUGUUCCACCACCCAUAUUUUUCCGGAAGCUUUUUUGAGGUAAAAACUCCGGGUGAAAAAGAUGGCCAUGGUUUAUUAACUAAGAUGGGAGGAACCGCUCCACCUUGGGGAUGAACAUAGGGGGCUGGAGAGUUCUCCCCCCCCCACUUGGUAUUGAACACGGCCCAGAUUCCUUCGGGGGGCACCAGUGAGAAUUUUGGUCAAUGGACGCAAGUUUGAACCCACCCAUCCCGCGUCCAGGAUGAAGGUGCUAUGCAUUGUAAACUGCUUUUGUACGAGGGUAAAUUCAGAUACGUGUAUCUGUUUGAAAGUAUCGUACGAAUAAGGAUCGGCUAACUCCGUGCCAGCAGCCGCGGUAAUACGGAGGAUCCGAGCGUUAUCCGGAUUUAUUGGGUUUAAAGGGUGCGUAGGCGGUUUGAUAAGUUAGAGGUGAAAGCUCGAUGCUCAACAUCGAAAUUGCCUCUGAUACUGUCAGACUAGAGUGUAGUUGCGGAAGGCGGAAUGUGUGGUGUAGCGGUGAAAUGCUUAGAUAUCACACAGAACACCGAUUGCGAAGGCAGCUUUCCAAGCUAUUACUGACGCUGAGGCACGAAAGCGUGGGUAGCGAACAGGAUUAGAUACCCUGGUAGUCCACGCCGUAAACGAUGAUAACUCGUUGCCGGCGAUAUAGUGUCGGUGACUAAGCGAAAGCGAUAAGUUAUCCACCUGGGGAGUACGUUCGCAAGAAUGAAACUCAAAGGAAUUGACGGGGGCCCGCACAAGCGGAGGAACAUGUGGUUUAAUUCGAUGAUACGCGAGGAACCUUACCCGGGCUUGAAAGUUAGCGACGGAUCCUGAAAGGGGUCUUCUCUUCGGAGCGCGAAACUAGGUGCUGCAUGGUUGUCGUCAGCUCGUGCCGUGAGGUGUCGGGUUAAGUCCCAUAACGAGCGCAACCCCUACUGUUAGUUGCCAGCAUGUCAAGAUGGGCACUCUAGCAGGACUGCCGGUGUAAGCCGAGAGGAAGGUGGGGAUGACGUCAAAUCAGCACGGCCCUUACGUCCGGGGCGACACACGUGUUACAAUGGUCGGUACAGAGGGUAGCUACCUGGUGACAGGAUGCCAAUCUCGAAAGCCGAUCUCAGUUCGGAUUGGAGGCUGAAACUCGCCUCCAUGAAGUUGGAUUCGCUAGUAAUCGCGCAUCAGCCAUGGCGCGGUGAAUACGUUCCCGGGCCUUGCACACACCGCCCGUC